GACAAACGCUGGAGUUCUUGCGACUCUUGAGGAAAGUCCAUGCUAGCACAGUCUGUGAUGACUGUAGUGUUCGUGCAUAGGAAAUAAAUAACCUAUGGUAGUUUAACUAACGGCGGCGUAAGUCCUAAGUCGAAAGAUAUGGAAUGAGCCAUAAAGUGCCACAGAGACGAUCCUUUUAGAAAUGAAAGGCUGAAACGAUGGUAAACCCCGCGAGCUAGAAACCCAAAAUUGGUAGGGGAGUCUUAACAAAAGAAAAGAAUGGAGUUAAGGACCGAAAGGUAGAUAAAUGUUUGUCGCCCGUAAGGGAACAGAACAUGGCUUAUU
Molecule: RNase P RNA, 324 nt
Filed under: pig gut metagenome
Description: Bacterial RNase P class B
Rfam family: Bacterial RNase P class B
About the family: Ribonuclease P (RNase P) is a ubiquitous endoribonuclease, found in archaea, bacteria and eukarya as well as chloroplasts and mitochondria.
Source: RNAcentral